RNAcentral lists this small RNA (126 nucleotides) under Marmota monax (woodchuck). Lineage: Eukaryota; Metazoa; Chordata; Mammalia; Rodentia; Sciuridae. The record is from RNAcentral.
GCCGGGCACGGUGACGCACGCCUGUAAUCCCAGCAGCUGGGGGUGCCGAGGCAGGGGGGAUUGUGAGUUCAGAGCCAGCCUCAGCAAAAGCGAGGCUCUAAGCAACUCAGUGAGACCCUGUCUCUA